GGAUCAAUAUAUCGGUCGUGCCUUGGUACGUACUGGUAUCAUUGGUUUCUCCUUUCUGACGAACCAUGAUGUCAUUAAUUUGGUGUUAUGGGAAGUUAGGACUGUUACUUUGGUAAAAAAAAUUAGAGUGUUUAAAGCAGGCUUUGGCUUGAAUACAUUAGCAUGGAAUAAUGAAAUAGGACGUUCGAACCUAUUUUGUUGGUUUCUAGGAUCAACGUAAUG
This 222-nucleotide ribosomal RNA is filed under the name uncultured Glomeromycotina. RNAcentral's name for it is "partial 18S ribosomal RNA". The stretch from base 46 to 222 matches the Rfam family "Eukaryotic small subunit ribosomal RNA", at positions 693 to 867 of the family's 1831-position model. The record is from RNAcentral. Lineage: Eukaryota; Fungi; Glomeromycota.